This 495-nucleotide ribosomal RNA is filed under the name uncultured bacterium. RNAcentral describes it as "partial 16S ribosomal RNA". It matches the Rfam family "Bacterial small subunit ribosomal RNA", at positions 28 to 506 of the family's 1533-position model. The record is from RNAcentral.
GACGAACGCUGGCGGCGUGCCUAAUACAUGCAAGUCGAGCGAUGAAGAUUGGUGCUUGCACCAAUUUGAAGAGCAGCGAACGGGUGAGUAACGUGUGGGGAAUCUGCCUUUGAGUGGGGGACAACAUUUGGAAACGAAUGCUAAUACCGCAUAACAUCUUUAAACAUAAGUUUUAAGUUUGAAAGAUGCAAUUGCAUCACGCAAAGAUGAUCCCGCGUUGUUUUAGCUAGUUGGUGAGGUAAAGGCUCACUAAGGCGGUGGUACAUAGCCGAGCUGAGAGGGUGGUCGGCUCCCUUGGGAGUGAGAUACGACCCUAUCACCGACGUACGGCACGGCUUGAGACGCUCCGGAUAUGUGCGAAAGUCUGACCGAGGAACGCUGCGUGAGUGAAGAAGGUUUUCGUUUCGUAAACUCUGUUGGUAGUGAAGAACGUGUGUGAGAUUGGAAGGCGCAUGAAUGACGGUUAUCUAGCCAGAAGGGGACGGUUAAUUCCGU